GCUAACGCAAAGUUAAUGAAACGGAGAAAGAUUGUGACUAUCAAUAUGCUAUUUGCAAGUGUAACAACCGCAUGUCUAAUGGUUGCUUUUCUCGGUAGAUAAUUCGCUUAUUCGUAUUAUUCGAUAGUACGUAACUACGCAAAAGAGCACGCAAGGCAAUUGGCGACUUCGGUCGCCUUUUUUUAUG
RNAcentral lists this small RNA (187 nucleotides) under Azomonas macrocytogenes. RNAcentral's name for it is "PhrS". It matches the Rfam family "PhrS". The record is from Rfam by way of RNAcentral. Lineage: Bacteria; Pseudomonadati; Pseudomonadota; Gammaproteobacteria; Pseudomonadales; Pseudomonadaceae.